GACGAACGCUGGCGGCGUGCUUAACACAUGCAAGUCGAGCGGUAAGGCCCUUUCGGGGGUACACGAGCGGCGAACGGGUGAGUAACACGUGGGUGACCUGCCCUCAGCUCUGGGAUAAGCCUGGGAAACCGGGUCUAAUACUGGAUAUGACUCCAUGACGCAUGUUGUGGGGUGGAAAGCCUUGUGCGGCUGAGGAUGGGCCCGCGGCCUAUCAGCUUGUUGGUGGGGUGAUGGCCUACCAAGGCGACGACGGGUAGCCGGCCUGAGAGGGCGACCGGCCACACUGGGACUGAGACACGGCCCAGACUCCUACGGGAGGCAGCAGUGGGAAUCUUGCGCAAUGGGCGAAAGCCUGACGCAGCGACGCCGCGUGAGGGAUGACGGCCUGG
Molecule: ribosomal RNA, 389 nt
Filed under: uncultured bacterium
Lineage: Bacteria
Description: bacterial SSU rRNA
Rfam family: Bacterial small subunit ribosomal RNA
Source: RNAcentral